Non-coding RNA from Beta vulgaris subsp. vulgaris (sugar beet), 197 nucleotides. The record is from Rfam. NCBI's taxonomy places the organism in Eukaryota, Viridiplantae, Streptophyta, Magnoliopsida, Caryophyllales, Amaranthaceae.
AUACCUUUCUCGGCCUUUUGGCUAAGAUCAAGUGUAGUAUCUGUUCUUAUCAGUUUAAUAUCUGAUACGUGGGCCAAUGGCCCACAACGAUAUUAAAUUUAUUUUUUAAGGGGGAAGUUCCACAACUUUAGCUUGCUAUUGGGAACUUCGAGUGUCGCCCAUGCGUAGCACUACUGCACGGGCCUGGCGCACCCCAC